AUGGAGGAUGGAGGAGGGGGUAGAAUGCAUGAAGAAGGCGAUGCAACGCGCACAUCAAGCAGCAAUUCAGCAUACCCAAACAUCAUGGGGACAGGUGCUCGGGCAAUCAGCGCAAACAACAACUUGCCCAGUGGUGGAACAAGUGCACAUAGUGCUGGAACAAAUGCAAGCACAGGAGCUGGGAGCCUUGGAGAGCAGACAAUAAAUGAACCAGCAACUCCAGAAUCUGCUGGGAUCGAUGCUGAUAUGGAAGGCAGCAACAUGGAGGCAUAUUCCACACCCAAGCCACCUUUGCAAGGGACAAAAUUUGAUACCAUGGAGAGCGCAUGUGACCACUACAGCACCUACACGCGCAGAACUGGCUUUGCAAUUAGGCAGCAAUUCAAGAAAGAGAGGGUUGAUGGAACUAUAAGCAGGGUGCUACUAGUUUGUACAAAAUAUGGCAAACGACACAAGGACAGGGAUGAGCUGCAAGAUGUGGAAAACCCAGACAACAUUGUCAAGAAGAGGAAAAAAAGAAAGUUGUUAGGACUGAAUGUGAAGCGCACAUGUACCUAUCCCACGAUGAUGCAUGGUGGACUGUUGACCGUUUUGAGGACACCCACAAUCACCCCCUGA
This 618-nucleotide ribosomal RNA is filed under the name Triticum aestivum (bread wheat). RNAcentral describes it as "partial small subunit ribosomal RNA". The record is from RNAcentral. Lineage: Eukaryota; Viridiplantae; Streptophyta; Magnoliopsida; Poales; Poaceae.